RNAcentral lists this small RNA (115 nucleotides) under Marmota monax (woodchuck). Lineage: Eukaryota; Metazoa; Chordata; Mammalia; Rodentia; Sciuridae. The record is from RNAcentral.
UCCAGGUGCGGUGGAAUACACCUGUAGUCCCAACUACUCAGGAGGUUAAGGCAAGAGGAUUGCGUGAGCCCAGGAGUUUGAGACUAGCCUGGGCAACAUAGUGAGACCCUUCCAC